GGACAUAACAUAAAAGUGGAGGCUAUUGUAACUGAAGAGAACUGGAAAGUUCCACCGUAGAAGGUAAUAGUCCUGUAAGUGAAACGAGAAGACCACGAGUUAUGAUCCAGAGUACCACGAGACACGUGAAACCUUGUGGGAAGCAGGGAGGACCACCUCCCAAGGCUAAAUACUACCUGAUGACCGAUAGUGAAGCAGUACCGUGAGGGAAAGGUGAAAAGAACCCCGGGAGGGGAGUGAAAUAGAACCUGAAACCGUGUGCCUACAACCGCUCAGAGCCCCUUAUGAGGGUGAUGAGGUGCUUUUUGUAGAACGAGCCAACGAGUUACGGUAUGUAGCAAGGUUAAGUACUUAAGGUACGGAGCCGAAGGGAAACCGAGUCUGAAUAGGGCGACUAGUUGCAUGCCGUAGACCCGAAACCGGGUGACCUAUCCAUGGCCAGGUUGAAGCGAGGGUAAAACCUCGUGGAGGACCGAACCACGUUGCUGUUGAAAAAGCAUGGGAUGAGCUGUGGAUAGCGGAGAAAUUCCAAUCGAACCCGGAGAUAGCUGGUUCUCUCCGAAAUAGCUUUAGGGCUAGCGUCGAGUAUGAGUAGUGGAGGUAGAGCACUGAAUGGGCUAGGGGGCAUAGCGCUUACCGAACCUUAUCAAACUCCGAAUGCCACAUACUUUGAGCUCGGCAGUCAGACUACGAAUGAUAAGAUCCGUGGUCAAAAGGGAAACAGCCCAGAUCGUCAGCUAAGGUCCCAAAGUGUAAGUUAAGUGGGAAAGGAUGUGAGAUUUCUAAGACAACUAGGAUGUUGGCUUAGAAGCAGCCAUUCAUUAAAAGAGUGCGUAAUAGCUCACUAGUCGAGAGAUCUUGCGCCGAAAAUGUAACGGGGCUAAACUUACC
Molecule: ribosomal RNA, 891 nt
Filed under: Clostridium perfringens
Lineage: Bacteria; Bacillati; Bacillota; Clostridia; Eubacteriales; Clostridiaceae
Description: partial 23S ribosomal RNA
Rfam family: Bacterial large subunit ribosomal RNA
Source: RNAcentral